GUUAGGAAUAUUGGACAAUGGGCGCAAGCCUGAUCCAGCCAUGCCGCGUGAGUGAUGAAGGCCUUCGGGUUGUAAAGCUCUUUAGUCCACGAAUAUAAUGACUGUAGUGGAAGAAUAAGCCCCGGCUAACUUCGUGCCAGCAGCCGCGGUAAUACGAAGGGGGCGAGCGUUAUUCGGAAUCACUGGGCGUAAAGCGUGCGUAGGCUGUUUUGUAAGUCAGAAGUGAAAGCCCAGGGCUUAACCCUGGAAUUGCUUUUGAAACUACAAGACUCGAAUUCGGGAGAGGAUAGCGGAAUUGUCAGUGUAGCAGUGAAAUGCGUAGAUAUUGACAGGAACACCAGUGGCGCAAGCGGCUAUCUGGACCGAUAUUGACGCUGAGGCACGAAAGCGUGGGGAGCAAACAGGAUUAGAUACCCCGUAGUCC
This 424-nucleotide ribosomal RNA is filed under the name uncultured bacterium. RNAcentral describes it as "partial 16S ribosomal RNA". It matches the Rfam family "Bacterial small subunit ribosomal RNA", at positions 354 to 796 of the family's 1533-position model. The record is from RNAcentral.